AGACCCGAAACCCGGUGAUCUAGCCAUGGGCAGGUUGAAGGUUGGGUAACACUAACUGGAGGACCGAACCGACUAAUGUUGAAAAAUUAGCGGAUGACCUGUGGCUGGGGGUGAAAGGCCAAUCAAACCGGGAGAUAGCUGGUUCUCCCCGAAAGCUAUUUAGGUAGCGCCUCGUGAAUUCAUCUCCGGGGGUAGAGCACUGUUUCGGCUAGGGGGCCAUCCCGGCUUACCAACCCGAUGCAAACUGCGAAUACCGGAGAAUGUUAUCACGGGAGACACACGGCGGGUGCUAACGUCCGUCGUGAAGAGGGAAACAACCCAGACCGCCAGCUAAGGUCCCAAAGUCAUGGUUAAGUGGGAAACGAUGUGGGAAGGCCCAGACAGCCAGGAUGUUGGCUUAGAAGCAGCCAUCAUUUAAAGAAAGCGUAAUAGCUCACUGGUCGAGUCGGCCUGCGCGGAAGAUGUAACGGGGCUAAACCAUGCACCGAAGCUGCGGCAGCGAACGUAUCACCCAAGACAACUUUACGGAGUUGACGAUUGACGGAGCGAAGCGACGUCAAAGCGUUCAUUAAAGUCGAGUUGGCUUAGGGAUACGUUCGUUGGGUAGGGGAGCGUUCUGUAAGCCUGUGAAGGUGGCCUGUGAGGGUUGCUGGAGGUAUCAGAAGUGCGAAUGCUGACAUAAGUAACGAUAAAGCGGGUGAAAAGCCCGCUCGCCGGAAGACCAAGGGUUCCUGUCCAACGUUAAUCGGGGCAGGGUGAGUCGACCCCUAAGGCGAGGCCGAAAGGCGUAGUCGAUGGGAAACGGGUUAAUAUUCCCGUACUUGGUGUUACUGCGAAGGGGGGACGGAGAAGGCUAUGUUGGCCGGGCGACGGUUGUCCCGGUUUAAGCGUGUAGGUGUGUGUUCCAGGUAAAUCCGGUUCACUUUAACACUGAGGCGUGAUGACGAGGCACUACGGUGCUGAAGCAACAAAUGCCCUGCUUCCAGGAAAAGCCUCUAAGCAUCAGGUAACAUCAAAUCGUACCCCAAACCGACACAGGUGGUCAGGUAGAGAAUACCAAGGCGCUUGAGAGAACUCGGGUGAAGGAACUAGGCAAAAUGGUGCCGUAACUUCGGGAGAAGGCACGCUGACACGUAGGUGAAGUGAUUUACUCAUGGAGCUGAAGUCAGUCGAAGAUACCAGCUGGCUGCAACUGUUUAUUAAAAACACAGCACUGUGCAAACACGAAAGUGGACGUAUACGGUGUGACGCCUGCCCGGUGCCGGAAGGUUAAUUGAUGGGGUCAGCGCAAGCGAAGCUCCUGAUCGAAGCCCCGGUAAACGGCGGCCGUAACUAUAACGGUCCUAAGGUAGCGAAAUUCCUUGUCGGGUAAGUUCCGACCUGCACGAAUGGCGUAAUGAUGGCCAGGCUGUCUCCACCCGAGACUCAGUGAAAUUGAACUCGCUGUGAAGAUGCAGUGUACCCGCGGCAAGACGGAAAGACCCCGUGAACCUUUACUAUAGCUUGACACUGAACAUUGAGCCUUGAUGUGUAGGAUAGGUGGGAGGCUUU
Molecule: ribosomal RNA, 1551 nt
Filed under: Salmonella enterica
Lineage: Bacteria; Pseudomonadati; Pseudomonadota; Gammaproteobacteria; Enterobacterales; Enterobacteriaceae
Also listed under: 2 other names
Description: partial 23S ribosomal RNA
Rfam family: Bacterial large subunit ribosomal RNA
Source: RNAcentral